Molecule: ribosomal RNA, 235 nt
Filed under: uncultured bacterium
Lineage: Bacteria
Description: partial 16S ribosomal RNA
Rfam family: Bacterial small subunit ribosomal RNA
Source: RNAcentral
UGUCCGGAUUUACUGGGCGUAAAGAGCGCGCAGGCGGUCGUUCAAGUCGCGUGUGAAAGCCCCCGGCUCAACUGGGGAGGGUCACGCGAUACUGAUCGACUCGAAGGCAGGAGAGGGUAGUGGAAUUCCCGGUGUAGUGGUGAAAUGCGUAGAUAUCGGGAGGAACACCAGUGGCGAAGGCGACUACCUGGCCUGUUCUUGACGCUGAGACGCGAAAGCGUGGGGAGCAAACAGG